CAAUGACGAACUUACAAUGUAUGCUGGACGUGCAAAAAGAACAGCACUGCAAUUUUAAGGAAUACUGGGUGUGAGAUUGAGCAUCAGUCUGAGAGGAAAAGGAGACAUCAUAGGGGUAAAGGGAAGCAUUGACGAGGUGGCGGGAGAGGAGCAGGAAGAGGAGGUGGCCAAGGAGGAGGAGAUGGACAAAAAAGAGGGGCAGCUGGCCAAGGAAGAGGGGGAGGUGGCCAAGGAAGCGGGGGAGGUGGCCAAGGAAGAGAGGGAGGUGGCCAAGGAAGAGGCCAAAGAGGAAGAGGAGGCCCUGCUACAACAGAUUCAUCCACAAGUGCAAAGACAAUAAACUAUUUUAACGUUACAUGUAAAGAACUUAAUUAUACUUCUAAAUAAAAAUAAUAUAU
Long non-coding RNA from Amphimedon queenslandica, 398 nucleotides. RefSeq lists it as uncharacterized. The record is from RefSeq and is a predicted model, not a curated record. The transcript is spliced from 3 exons. NCBI's taxonomy places the organism in Eukaryota, Metazoa, Porifera, Demospongiae, Haplosclerida, Niphatidae.